RNAcentral lists this ribosomal RNA (425 nucleotides) under uncultured Clostridiaceae bacterium. RNAcentral describes it as "bacterial SSU rRNA". It matches the Rfam family "Bacterial small subunit ribosomal RNA", at positions 75 to 507 of the family's 1533-position model. The record is from RNAcentral. Lineage: Bacteria; Bacillati; Bacillota; Clostridia; Eubacteriales; Clostridiaceae.
UUCGGAACGAAAAGACCGUAGCGGCGGACGGGGUCGAGGUAACACCGUGGGCGAACCCUAGCCUCAUAGAGGGGGAACGUAGCCUUCCGAACGGGAGAUUAAUACCGCAUAAGAUUGCAGCUUCGCAUGAAGUAGCAAUUAAAGGAGCAAUCCGCUAUGAGAUGGGCCCGCGGCGCAUUAGGCUAGUGGUGAGGUAACGGCUCACCAAGGCGACGAUGCGUAGCCGACCUGAGAGGUGAUCGGCCACAUUGGGACUGAGACACGGCCCAGACUCCUACGGGAGGCAGCAGUGGGGAAUAUUGCACAAUGGGGGAAACCCUGAUGCAGCAACGCCGCGUGAGUGAUGACGGCCUUCGGGUUGUAAAGCUCUGUCUUCAGGGACGAUAAUGACGGUACCUGAGGAGGAAGCCACGGCUAACUACGUG